This 115-nucleotide non-coding RNA is filed under the name Jeotgalibacillus soli. RNAcentral's name for it is "TPP sequence". It matches the Rfam family "TPP riboswitch aptamer (THI element)". Rfam says of the family: Vitamin B(1) in its active form thiamin pyrophosphate (TPP) is an essential coenzyme that is synthesised by coupling of pyrimidine and thiazole moieties in bacteria. Lineage: Bacteria; Bacillati; Bacillota; Bacilli; Caryophanales; Caryophanaceae. The record is from Rfam by way of RNAcentral.
AUUCAGAACUAGGGGUGUCCAAUCAGUUGGGCUGAGAGAGAAACGCGUGAAAGUUUCUUAACCCUCAGGACCUGAUCUGGUUCAUACCAGCGUGGGGAAGUUAGAAUCUACUUGA